CUCUUUUGGUCUUUCUGGGCUUAUGUUUGGUUAUACAUUAUCCUAGAGAUAAUAUGCCAUUUUUGUUUCAUCAUUAUUUGCUUUGGUUUGAACAUUCAAUUGGUUUAGAUUCUGCAUCUUCAUAACUUGUUCUUUAUGCAGGGUUCCCGAUGCAGGUAAUGGCAUUGUCAUACGAACUCCCUCUGAGAUUUUCAGUGGCAGAAACUUGAUACAAAGCCAAAAUCAGUUACAAUAUUUCAUUUCAGGGGUUCAAGGCUUGCUUCAUGUAAAAGAGACGAUCUCCCUAAUUCAUCGACUGCAAACACUAAUGAGUCUGAGCCAUUCUCUGCUGCAAGGUGUCGCAUCUUCAAAAGAUCAAUCACUAAUGUUAAUUUGUUGGGUUAUGUUUUGAAUUUGAAUUUAUUUUUGUUGUUUGAUCCCAAAUAUUUGAAUUUGAAUUUAAAUUUGAAUUAUUAAU
RNAcentral lists this long non-coding RNA (457 nucleotides) under Panax ginseng (ginseng). RNAcentral's name for it is "long non-coding RNA (PGIN_LNC003178)". The record is from RNAcentral. Lineage: Eukaryota; Viridiplantae; Streptophyta; Magnoliopsida; Apiales; Araliaceae.